GACGAACGCUGGCGGCGUGCUUAACACAUGCAAGUCGAACGGCAAGGCACUGCUUUUGUGGGGUGCUCGAGUGGCGAACGGGUGAGUAACACGUGAGUAACCUGACCUUGACUUUGGGAUAACUUCAGGAAACUGGGGCUAAUACCGGAUCGGAGCUCCUGCUGCAUGGAGGGGGUUGGAAAGUCUCGGCGGUUGGGGAUGGACUCGCGGCUUAUCAGCUUGUUGGUGGGGUAGUGGAUUACCAAGGCUUUGACGGGUCGCCGGCCUGAGAGGGUGACCGGCCACAUUGGGACUGAGAUACGGCCCAGACUCCUACGGUAGGCAGCAGUGGGGAGUAUUGCACAAUGGGCGGAAGCCUGAUGCAGCAACGCCGCGUGCGGGAUGACGGCCUUCGGGUUGUAAACCGCUUUCGCCUGUGACGAAGCGUGAGUGACGGUAAUGGGUAAAUAAGCACCGGCUAACUACGUG
Molecule: ribosomal RNA, 468 nt
Filed under: uncultured bacterium
Lineage: Bacteria
Description: partial 16S ribosomal RNA
Rfam family: Bacterial small subunit ribosomal RNA
Source: RNAcentral